Molecule: RNA transcript, 1436 nt
Organism: Arachis duranensis
Lineage: Eukaryota; Viridiplantae; Streptophyta; Magnoliopsida; Fabales; Fabaceae
Exons: 2
Source: RefSeq, a predicted model, not a curated record
CAUCCCCCAUCCACUUUUCCUUAAUGCUGCGCAGCCCUAGCCUCUUCACCCUCUUCCCUGCGCAGUAAACACGCACAAUAGUCUCCCUUCGCCAUGAAAGAAAGAAAAAGAAGCAAAAAGGGAGAGAGAUACAGAGAGUUACGACAGAGGAGAGGAGGAGGGGAGCUCACCGCAUCGCCGUCGUCCUCAACGCGUUGCGCCGCCGCUGCAGUCCAUACCGCCAGUGUCACUGUCACCGAGCCUCCUUGCCGUCGCCACUGAAGCCGCCCUCGCUGAUUUGUCUCCCACCGUUGGAGGCGCGAGCCAAGGUUGCCUCCGAGGGAGAAGAUGCGAUUGGAGAAGCCGCAAUGAGUCCUUGGUUGCCAUCGCGCCAAACCCAGAAGUGGCCACCGUCGCUGCAGAGUAGCUCGCCUGCCAACAGUGCCCCGCCACCGUGUCCAGUUCACCGCCACCACCGCGCCGUCUGCGCUGUCGCCAGGGAGAGCAGAACCGAGAAGAAGGUUGGUUCCCGAGUGAGGGUGGUCACGGAAAUGGAGCUGCCGCGCCUUUGUCGCCACCGCAUCUACGCCGCGUCACCGCUGCCGUUCUCACCGCCGCCGUCCCUAUUGUGGCUGGUGUCAUCGCCGGAAAAUCACCAUCGCUGGAGAGAGGAAGGGCCAGAGAAGGAGGACGAGACAUGUGAUAAGGGUGACGCACAGAGGAGAAACCGUUUCUGUUCUUUCAAAAUUUCUGAAAGGUUUCUGACGCCGUGUGGUUGUUACAGUCAUCAUCAUCGGUGUUUUACAUUGCCGCUGUCACUUGAGGUUAUUGACAGAGCCGCUGCCGGGUUGAUUUGGAGUUACGGCUGCUUCGUUUUGUGAAUUCAGUGAGUAUUUCUGUUUCGAAAGCCCUGCGUUAGUGUUCUAUUCCGUGUAAUAAAGUAUUUGUGAUAUUAAUGGUUUUAGGAGUUAGAAUCCGAUUUGCUUGUGUCGUCUGUAACUGUUUCUGCUUUUGAGAGAGCAAGCAGAACCGAGGUUUUGAUUGCCGGUGAUUUCGGGUUGAGACGAAAAGAACUCUGUGAGGCGUUUGGGCUAUGGUUUUGCAUAUUGAGGAUUCUGUUGGACCGUGGUGAUUGGUUGUUGUUUGGACUGUUUGGGCCUAGGGCCGUGGUUGAUCAUGAGGUGGGCCGGAAGCCAUGUUGGUGGAUGUUUCUUGUUUGAAAAAGUAUGAAAAACUAAUUUAGAUCAGUAUAGAUAAAUCUUUUGAAAGGCUUUUGAAUUUUCAAGAAAUGAACAAUUCCUCUUUUAGAAAAGAUUUCAGAUUUUUCUCUUACAGUAAACCAUUGCUUUUGAAAAGAUGCAUAUGGCGAUUAUUAAUCACUGUAACAAUUUUAUCUCGCGUAUCCUAUUAUAGUAAUUCUGUAACUCUAUAGUGAGAACCUUUUCGAUGAUGAUGUU